GCGACGUUGGCUCAGUGGUAGUGCACGAGCCUUGAGAUCUCGGGGAUGUUAGGUCAAAUCACCAUCGUCGCU
RNAcentral lists this transfer RNA (72 nucleotides) under Trichomalopsis sarcophagae. RNAcentral's name for it is "tRNA-OTHER". The record is from RNAcentral. Lineage: Eukaryota; Metazoa; Arthropoda; Insecta; Hymenoptera; Pteromalidae.